AGAGAGAGACAUGCGCGCAUAUCAAUAAGCGGAGGAAAAGAAACUAACAAGGAUUCCCUUAGUAACGGCGAGUGAAGCGGGAAGAGCUCAAAUUUGAAAUCUUCAAGGUUCUACCUUGACGAAUUGUAGUUUAUAGAAGUGUUUUCUGUUAGUGGAGUGGCAAAAGUUCUUUGGAAUAGGACAUCAUAGAGGGUGAGAAUCCCGUAUUUGGUCAUUCCUCCUAGCGUUGUGAUACACUUUCAACGAGUCGGAUUGUUUGGGAAUGCAGUCCAAAAUGGGUGGUAAAUUUCAUCUAAAGCUAAAUAUUGGCGAGAGACCGAUAGCGAACAAGUACCGUGAGGGAAAGAUGAAAAGAACUUUGAAAAGAGAGUUAAACAGUACGUGAAAUUGUCAAAAGGGAAGCGUUUGACACCAGUGUUGUUUUUCCGAAAAUCAAUUACGAAUGUUUUGUUUUUGAGGAGUUAUGACUUCAUCGGCUUGCUCCUUUCUUUAUGAAACUUUCUUAAUGCACUUUUCGGUUAACAAGUCAACAUCAAUUUCCUUUGUUGUAAAAGGGUAUGAGGAAGGUGGCUUUCUUUUCGGAGAAAGUGUUUAUAGCCUUGUGCCUCUGCAAUCGGAGAGAUUGAGGUCUGCAGCGUAGAUCCUUCGGGGUUAGAUACGUUUGUGCUAAGUUAUAGCUUUUCAUAGACAACUUGUUGACUAUGUUUAGUCUUGUAGCUUACUCGCUUACUGCUAUUUUACCUACGCUUAGGAUGUUGAUAGUCACAGCGUGUAC
This 775-nucleotide ribosomal RNA is filed under the name uncultured Neocallimastigales. RNAcentral describes it as "partial large subunit ribosomal RNA". It matches the Rfam family "Eukaryotic large subunit ribosomal RNA", at positions 23 to 644 of the family's 3401-position model. The record is from RNAcentral. Lineage: Eukaryota; Fungi; Neocallimastigomycota; Neocallimastigomycetes; Neocallimastigales.